This 409-nucleotide ribosomal RNA is filed under the name Bacillota bacterium. RNAcentral's name for it is "Firmicutes bacterium partial 16S ribosomal RNA". It matches the Rfam family "Bacterial small subunit ribosomal RNA", at positions 355 to 776 of the family's 1533-position model. Lineage: Bacteria; Bacillati; Bacillota. The record is from RNAcentral.
UGGGGAAUAUUGCUCAAUGGGCGCAAGCCUGAAGCAGCGACGCCGCGUGAGGGAUGAAGGCCUUCGGGUUGUAAACCUCUUUCAGCGCCGAAGAAGCGAAAGUGACGGUAGGCGCAGAAGAAGCACCGGCUAACUACGUGCCAGCAGCCGCGGUAAUACGUAGGGUGCAAGCGUUGUCCGGAAUCAUUGGGCGUAAAGAGCUCGUAGGCGGUCUGUCGCGUCUGCUGUGAAAACCUGGGGCUUAACCCCGGGCCUGCAGUGGGUACGGGCAGACUAGAGUGCGGUAGGGGAGACUGGAAUUCCUGGUGUAGCGGUGAGAUGCGCAGAUAUCAGGAGGAACACCGGUGGCGAAGGCGGGUCUCUGGGCCGUAACUGACGCUGAGGAGCGAAAGCAUGGGUAGCGAACAGG